This 998-nucleotide ribosomal RNA is filed under the name uncultured organism. Its description in RNAcentral is "bacterial SSU rRNA". It matches the Rfam family "Bacterial small subunit ribosomal RNA", at positions 123 to 1082 of the family's 1533-position model. The record is from RNAcentral.
AAUUUUCCUUUAAGUGGGGUAUAGCCAGGCGAAAGCCUGAUUAACACCGCAUACAAUCAUGAUUCGAUGGAGUUGUGAUAAAAGAUGGGUUCCUUCGGGACCAUUGCUUAAAGAUAAGCCUGCAUCUGAUUAGUUAGUUGGUAGGGUAACGGCCUACCAAGACCACGACCAGUAGCUGUUCUAAGAGGAAGAUCAGCCACAUUGGGACUGAGAUACGGCCCAGACUCCUACGGGAGGCAGCAGUGAGGAAUUUUGCGCAAUGGGUGAAAUCCUGACGCAGCAACGCCGCGUGACCGAUUGAAGCUUUUAGGAGUGUAAAGGUCUGUCGCGAGGGAAGAAAAUAUCCGAGAAGAAAAGUUCGGUAGUUGACGGUACCUCGCAAGCAAAGCUCCGGCUAACUUCGUGCCAAGCAGCCGCGGUAAUACGAGGGGAGCAAGCGUUGUCCGAAAUAACUGGGCGUACAGGGUACGUAGGCUUUUUUGUAUGUUUCCGGUGAAAGUCACAGGCUUCACUUGUGAAUGGCCCGGAAAACUGCCAGAGAUUGAAUCCGAAAGGGGGAAACAAGAAUUCCUGGUUUACCGGUGAAAUGCGUAGAUAUUCAGGAGGAAUACCAGUGGCGAAGGCGGCUUUCUGGUUCGGAAUUGACGCUGAUGUACCAAAGCGUGGGUAGCCAACAGGGAUAAGAUACCCUGGUAGUCCACGCCUUAAACUAUGGAUACUUGAUGUCGGGGCGUUCGGUCGACCCGGUGUCGUAGCUAACGUGUUAAGUAUCCCGCCUGGGGACUACGGUCGCAAGACUGAAACUCAAAGGAAUUGACGGGGGCCCGCACCAGCGGUGGAACAUGUGGUUUAAUUCGAUGCAACGCGAAGAACCUUACCUGGGCUUGACAUAUAUAUGGCGUAUGUAAGAAAUUAUGGUAUUCUGUCUGUUUUUUCAGAUAGCAUAUAUACAGGUGAUGCAUGGCUGUCGUCAGCUCGUGUCGUGAGAUGUAGGGUUA